This 330-nucleotide small RNA is filed under the name Arabidopsis thaliana (thale cress). RNAcentral describes it as "ATSL227700". The record is from RNAcentral. Lineage: Eukaryota; Viridiplantae; Streptophyta; Magnoliopsida; Brassicales; Brassicaceae.
ACCACUCAUUUAGCCAAGUGGCCCAAGCCCAUCUUCACCAGUUGAUACACUCUUCUUGUCUCCUUCAACUUUACUUUAGUGAUUGGUUUUAGUGAUUAACCAUAUUCCAGAUUUUAUAUGCAGAGACUUAGGGUCCGAAUGGUAACCGCUGUUUUUGUUGUGCGGGGAAAGCGUUAUUACACUGCGGUACGGUUCAACUGCGGUACGUGCGGAAGAAAUAUAUUUGCAGAAUUAGUGCGGUUUGUACAAAAUAAACGGUACAAAAUAAUGUUUGAUUGGUGAAAAAAACUACUUGCAGUGCGGAUUAUAAAUUAUAUAUAUAUAUAUUAA